CCUACGGGUGGCUGCAGUGAGGAAUAUUGGUCAAUGGGCGAGAGCCUGAACCAGCCAAGUAGCGUGAGGGAUGACUGCCCUACGGGUUGUAAACCUCUUUUAUAAAGGAAUAAAGUGCGGCACGUGUGCCUUUUUGUAUGUACUUUGUGAAUAAGGAUCGGCUAACUCCGUGCCAGCAGCCGCGGUAAUACGGAGGAUCCGAGCGUUAUCCGGAUUUAUUGGGUUUAAAGGGAGCGUAGGUGGGUUGCUAAGUCAGUUGUGAAAGUUUGCGGCUCAACCCUAAAAUUGCAAUUGAUACUGGCAGUCUUGAGUACAGUUGAGGUAGGCGGAAUUCGUGGUGUAGCGGUGAAAUGCAUAGAUAUCACGAAGAACUCCGAUUGCGAAGGCAGCUUACUAAACUCCAACUGACAUUGAUGCACGAAAGUGUGGGUAUCAAACAGGAUUAGAUACCCCGGUAGUC
This 460-nucleotide ribosomal RNA is filed under the name uncultured bacterium. RNAcentral describes it as "partial 16S ribosomal RNA". It matches the Rfam family "Bacterial small subunit ribosomal RNA", at positions 338 to 795 of the family's 1533-position model. The record is from RNAcentral.